CCCUUAGAUGUUCUGGGCCGCACGCGCGCUACACUGAUGCAUUCAACGAGUCUAAAACCUGGUCUGAUAGGGCUGGGUAAUCUUUUGAAUGUGCAUCGUGAUUGGGAUAGAUGAUUGCAAUUCUUCAUCUUCAACGAGGAAUGCCUAGUAAACGCAAGUCAUCAGCUUGCAUUGAUUACGUCCCUGCCCUUUGUACACACCGCCCGUCGCUCCUACCGAUUGAAUGUUCCGAUGAAUACCAUGGACUGAGAGUAUGAAUGGGUUCGCCUAUUUCUGCUUCUCGGGAAGUGGAGUAAAUCUUAACAUUUAGAGGAAGGAGAAGGCGUAACA
Molecule: ribosomal RNA, 330 nt
Filed under: uncultured eukaryote
Lineage: Eukaryota
Description: partial 18S ribosomal RNA
Rfam family: Eukaryotic small subunit ribosomal RNA
Source: RNAcentral